Molecule: unclassified non-coding RNA, 278 nt
Filed under: uncultured fungus
Lineage: Eukaryota; Fungi
Description: partial contains small subunit ribosomal RNA, internal transcribed spacer 1, and 5.8S ribosomal RNA
Rfam family: Eukaryotic small subunit ribosomal RNA (bases 1-73)
Source: RNAcentral
ACAAACUUGGUCAUUUAGAGGAAGUAAAAGUCGUAACAAGGUUUCCGUAGGUGAACCUGCGGAAGGAUCAUUAACAAAAAUCAUCAAUUUUGAUGUACCCUUUUGUGCAAAUGUUUGUGAAUAUAUGUCGAAAAGAGUUUUUGGGAAACCAAAUCUCUUUUUUUGAUAUUUUUUUUAUUUACACCUUUUAAACAAAUGUUAUAAAUAAAAUAUUUUUAAAAUAAAAUACAACUUUCAACAACGGAUCUCUUGGCUCUCGCAUCGAUGAAGAACGCAGC